UGGACAAUCUUUCGACCUCUGGUAGCUACC
RNAcentral lists this non-coding RNA (30 nucleotides) under Rattus norvegicus (Norway rat). Lineage: Eukaryota; Metazoa; Chordata; Mammalia; Rodentia; Muridae. The record is from RNAcentral.